RNAcentral lists this ribosomal RNA (424 nucleotides) under uncultured Sphingobacteriales bacterium. Its description in RNAcentral is "bacterial SSU rRNA". It matches the Rfam family "Bacterial small subunit ribosomal RNA", at positions 355 to 776 of the family's 1533-position model. The record is from RNAcentral. Lineage: Bacteria; Pseudomonadati; Bacteroidota; Sphingobacteriia; Sphingobacteriales.
UAAGGAAUAUUGGUCAAUGGAGGCAACUCUGAACCAGCCAUGCCGCGUGCAGGAUGACGGCCCUAUGGGUUGUAAACUGCUUUUGUACCAGAGAAAACCCCAGUACGUGUACUGGGUUGAUAGUAUGGUAAGAAUAAGCAUCGGCUAACUUCGUGCCAGCAGCCGCGGUAAGACGAAGGAUGCAAGCGUUAUCCGGAUUCAUUGGGUUUAAAGGGUGCGUAGGCGGACUGAUAAGUCAGUGGUGAAAUCUCUCAGCUUAACUGAGAAACUGCCAUUGAUACUGUCGGUCUAGAGUAUAGAUGACGUUGGCGGAAUAUGACAUGUAGUGGUGAAAUACUUAGAUAUGUCAUAGAACACCGAUUGCGAAGGCAGCUAACGAAACUAUAACUGACGCUGAGGCACGAAAGUGCGGGGAUCAAACAGG